This 715-nucleotide ribosomal RNA is filed under the name uncultured bacterium. Its description in RNAcentral is "bacterial SSU rRNA". It matches the Rfam family "Bacterial small subunit ribosomal RNA", at positions 55 to 771 of the family's 1533-position model. The record is from RNAcentral.
AUGCAGUCGAACGGUGAUGAGGAGCUUGCUUCUUUGAUCAGUGGCGAACGGGUGAGUAACACGUGAGCAAUCUGCCCUUGACUCUGGGAUAACUGCGGGAAACUGUAGCUAAUACCGGAUACGACCUUCGGAGGCAUCUCUGGGGGUGGAAAGAAUUUUGGUCAAGGAUGAGCUCGCGGCCUAUCAGCUAGUUGGUGAGGUAAUGGCUCACCAAGGCGACGACGGGUAGCCGGCCUGAGAGGGUGACCGGCCACACUGGGACUGAGACACGGCCCAGACUCCUACGGGAGGCAGCAGUGGGGAAUAUUGCACAAUGGGCGCAAGCCUGAUGCAGCAACGCCGCGUGAGGGACGAAGGCCUUCGGGUUGUAAACCUCUUUUAGUAGGGAAGAAGUGACUGGGUUUUCCUGGAAGUGACGGUACCUGCAGAAAAAGCACCGGCUAACUACGUGCCAGCAGCCGCGGUAAUACGUAGGGUGCAAGCGUUGUCCGGAAUUAUUGGGCGUAAAGAGCUCGUAGGCGGUUUGUUGCGUCUGCUGUGAAAACCCGAGGCUCAACCUCGGGCCUGCAGUGGGUACGGGCAGACUAGAGUGCGGUAGGGGAGAUUGGAAUUCCUGGUGUAGCGGUGGAAUGCGCAGAUAUCAGGAGGAACACCAAUGGCGAAGGCAGAUCUCUGGGCCGUAACUGACGCUGAGGAGCGAAAGCAUGGGGAGCGA